This 497-nucleotide ribosomal RNA is filed under the name uncultured bacterium. Its description in RNAcentral is "partial 16S ribosomal RNA". It matches the Rfam family "Bacterial small subunit ribosomal RNA", at positions 28 to 507 of the family's 1533-position model. The record is from RNAcentral.
GAUGAACGCUGGCGGCGUGCCUAAUACAUGCAAGUCGAGCGAACAGACGAUUAGCUUGUUCCUCUGACGUUAGCGGCUGACGGGUGAGUAACACGUGGAUCACCUACUUAUUUGACUGGGAUAACUACGUGAAACCGUAGCUGAUACUGGAUAAUAUAUUCAACCGCAUGGUUCAAUAGUGAAAGACGGUUUUGCCGUCACUUCUAGAUGGAUCCGCGCUUCAUUAUCUAGUUGGUAAGGUAACUGCUUACCAAGGCAACGAUGCGUAGCCGACCUGCGAGGGUGAUCGGCGACACUGGAACUGAGACACGGUCCAGACUCCUACGGGAGGCAGCAGUAGGGAAUCUUCGGCAAUGGGCGAAAGCCUGACGGAGCAACGCCGCGUGGGUGAUGAAGGUCUUCGGUUCGUAAAACUCUGUUAUUAGGGAAGAAAAAAUGUGGAUGAAACUAUACACGUCUUGACGGUACCUAAUGAGAAAGCUACGGCUAACUACGUG